RNAcentral lists this ribosomal RNA (254 nucleotides) under uncultured bacterium. RNAcentral's name for it is "partial 16S ribosomal RNA". It matches the Rfam family "Bacterial small subunit ribosomal RNA", at positions 79 to 334 of the family's 1533-position model. The record is from RNAcentral.
CUUUCUUUGCUGGCGACCGGCGCACGGGUGAGUAACACGUAUCCAACCUGCCCUUUACUCGGGGAUAGCCUUUCGAAAGAAAGAUUAAUACCCGAUGGCAUAAUGAUUCCGCAUGGUUUCAUUAUUAAAGGAUUCCGGUAAAGGAUGGGGAUGCGUUCCAUUAGGUUGUUGGUGGGGUAACGGCCCACCAAGCCUUCGAUGGAUAGGGGUUCUGAGAGGAAGGUCCCCCACAUUGGAACUGAGACACGGACCAA